UGUGAGCUCGAUGAGUAGGGCGGGACACGUGGUAUCCUGUCUGAAUAUGGGGGGACCAUCCUCCAAGGCUAAAUACUCCUGACUGACCGAUAGUGAACCAGUACCGUGAGGGAAAGGCGAAAAGAACCCCGGCGAGGGGAGUGAAAAAGAACCUGAAACCGUGUACGUACAAGCAGUGGGAGCACGCUUAGGCGUGUGACUGCGUACCUUUUGUAUAAUGGGUCAGCGACUUAUAUUCUGUAGCAAGGUUAACCGAAUAGGGGAGCCGAAGGGAAACCGAGUCUUAACUGGGCGUUAAGUUGCAGGGUAUAGACCCGAAACCCGGUGAUCUAGCCAUGGGCAGGUUGAAGGUUGGGUAACACUAACUGGAGGACCGAACCGACUAAUGUUGAAAAAUUAGCGGAUGACUUGUGGCUGGGGGUGAAAGGCCAAUCAAACCGGGAGAUAGCUGGUUCUCCCCGAAAGCUAUUUAGGUAGCGCCUCGUGAAUUCAUCUCCGGGGGUAGAGCACUGUUUCGGCAAGGGGGUCAUCCCGACUUACCAACCCGAUGCAAACUGCGAAUACCGGAGAAUGUUAUCACGGGAGACACACGGCGGGUGCUAACGUCCGUCGUGAAGAGGGAAACAACCCAGACCGCCAGCUAAGGUCCCAAAGUCAUGGUUAAGUGGGAAACGAUGUGGGAAGGCCCAGACAGCCAGGAUGUUGGCUUAGAAGCAGCCAUCAUUUAAAGAAAGCGUAAUAGCUCACUGGUCGAGUCGGCCUGCGCGGAAGAUGUAACGGGGCUAAACCAUGCACCGAAGCUGCGGCAGCGACGCUUAUGCGUUGUUGGGUAGGGGAGCGUUCUGUAAGCCUGCGAAGGUGUGCUGUGAGGCAUGCUGGAGGUAUCAGAAGUGCGAAUGCUGACAUAAGUAACGAUAAAGCGGGUGAAAAGCCCGCUCGCCGGAAGACCAAGGGUUCCUGUCCAACGUUAAUCGGGGCAGGGUGAGUCGACCCCUAAGGCGAGGCCGAAAGGCGUAGUCGAUGGGAAACAGGUUAAUAUUCCUGUACUUGGUGUUACUGCGAAGGGGGGACGGAGAAGGCUAUGUUGGCCGGGCGACGGUUGUCCCGGUUUAAGCGUGUAGGCUGGUUUUCCAGGCAAAUCCGGAAAAUCAAGGCUGAGGCGUGAUGACGAGGCACUACGGUGCUGAAGCAACAAAUGCCCUGCUUCCAGGAAAAGCCUCUAAGCAUCAGGUAACAUCAAAUCGUACCCCAAACCGACACAGGUGGUCAGGUAGAGAAUACCAAGGCGCUUGAGAGAACUCGGGUGAAGGAACUAGGCAAAAUGGUGCCGUAACUUCGGGAGAAGGCACGCUGAUAUGUAGGUGAAGCGACUUGCUCGUGGAGCUGAAAUCAGUCGAAGAUACCAGCUGGCUGCAACUGUUUAUUAAAAACACAGCACUGUGCAAACACGAAAGUGGACGUAUACGGUGUGACGCCUGCCCGGUGCCGGAAGGUUAAUUGAUGGGGUUAGCGCAAGCGAAGCUCUUGAUCGAAGCCCCGGUAAACGGCGGCCGUAACUAUAACGGUCCUAAGGUAGCGAAAUUCCUUGUCGGGUAAGUUCCGACCUGCACGAAUGGCGUAAUGAUGGCCAGGCUGUCUCCACCCGAGACUCAGUGAAAUUGAACUCGCUGUGAAGAUGCAGUGUACCCGCGGCAAGACGGAAAGACCCCGUGAACCUUUACUAUAGCUUGACACUGAACAUUGAGCCUUGAUGUGUAGGAUAGGUGGGAGGCUUUGAAGUGUGGACGCCAGUCUGCAUGGAGCCGACCUUGAAAUACCACCCUUUAAUGUUUGAUGUUCUAACGUGGACCCGUAAUCCGGGUUGCGGACAGUGUCUGGUGGGUAGUUUGACUGGGGCGGUCUCCUCCUAAAGAGUAACGGAGGAGCACGAAGGUUGGCUAAUCCUGGUCGGACAUCAGGAGGUUAGUGCAAUGGCAUAAGCCAGCUUGACUGCGAGCGUGACGGCGCGAGCAGGUGCGAAAGCAGGUCAUAGUGAUCCGGUGGUUCUGAAUGGAAGGGCCAUCGCUCAACGGAUAAAAGGUACUCCGGGGAUAACAGGCUGAUACCGCCCAAGAGUUCAUAUCGACGGCGGUGUUUGGCACCUCGAUGUCGGCUCAUCACAUCCUGGGGCUGAAGUAGGUCCCAAGGGUAUGGCUGUUCGCCAUUUAAAGUGGUACGCGAGCUGGGUUUAGAACGUCGUGAGACAGUUCGGUCCCUAUCUGCCGUGGGCGCUGGAGAACUGAGGGGGGCUGCUCCUAGUACGAGAGGACCGGAGUGGACGCAUCACUGGUGUUCGGGUUGUCAUGCCAAUGGCACUGCCCGGUAGCUAAAUGCGGAAGAGAUAAGUGCUGAAAGCAUCUAAGCACGAAACUUGCCCCGAGAUGAGUUCUCCCUGACUCCUUGAGAGUCCUGAAGGAACGUUGAAGACGACGACGUUGAUAGGCCGGGUGUGUAAGCGCAGCGAUGCGUUGAGCUAACCGGUACUAAUGAACCGUGAGGCUUAACCUU
RNAcentral lists this ribosomal RNA (2547 nucleotides) under Escherichia coli O104:H4 str. Ec11-5603. Its description in RNAcentral is "bacterial LSU rRNA". It matches the Rfam family "Bacterial large subunit ribosomal RNA", at positions 398 to 2925 of the family's 2925-position model. The record is from RNAcentral. Lineage: Bacteria; Pseudomonadati; Pseudomonadota; Gammaproteobacteria; Enterobacterales; Enterobacteriaceae.